RNAcentral lists this ribosomal RNA (1287 nucleotides) under metagenome. RNAcentral's name for it is "bacterial SSU rRNA". It matches the Rfam family "Bacterial small subunit ribosomal RNA", at positions 242 to 1520 of the family's 1533-position model. The record is from RNAcentral.
UAGCUAGUUGGUGAGGUAACGGCUUACCAAGGCGACGAUCUGUAGCGGGUCUGAGAGGAUGAUCCGCCACACUGGAACUGAGACACGGUCCAGACUCCUACGGGAGGCAGCAGUGGGGAAUUUUGGACAAUGGGGGCAACCCUGAUCCAGCCAUGCCGCGUGAGUGAAGAAGGCCUUCGGGUUGUAAAGCUCUUUCGGCCGGGAAGAAAUCGCAUGGGCCAAUACCCUGUGUGGAUGACGGUACCGGAAUAAGAAGCACCGGCUAACUACGUGCCAGCAGCCGCGGUAAUACGUAGGGUGCGAGCGUUAAUCGGAAUUACUGGGCGUAAAGCGUGCGCAGGCGGUUUUGUAAGACAGGCGUGAAAUCCCCGGGCUCAACCUGGGAACUGCGUUUGUGACUGCAAGGCUAGAGUACGGCAGAGGGGGGUGGAAUUCCACGUGUAGCAGUGAAAUGCGUAGAGAUGUGGAGGAACACCAAUGGCGAAGGCAGCCCCCUGGGUCGAUACUGACGCUCAUGCACGAAAGCGUGGGUAGCAAACAGGAUUAGAUACCCUGGUAGUCCACGCCCUAAACUAUGUCAACUAGGUGUUGGGUGGGUAAAACCAUUUAGUACCGUAGCUAACGCGUGAAGUUGACCGCCUGGGGAGUACGGCCGCAAGGUUAAAACUCAAAGGAAUUGACGGGGACCCGCACAAGCGGUGGAUGAUGUGGAUUAAUUCGAUGCAACGCGAAAAACCUUACCUACCCUUGACAUGCCAGGAACUUGCCAGAGAUGGCUUGGUGCCCGAAAGGGAGCCUGGACACAGGUGCUGCAUGGCUGUCGUCAGCUCGUGUCGUGAGAUGUUGGGUUAAGUCCCGCAACGAGCGCAACCCUUGUCGUUAAUUGCCAUCAUUUAGUUGGGCACUUUAGCGAGACUGCCGGUGACAAACCGGAGGAAGGUGGGGAUGACGUCAAGUCCUCAUGGCCCUUAUGGGUAGGGCUUCACACGUCAUACAAUGGUCGGUACAAAGGGUCGCCAAGCCGCGAGGUGGAGCCAAUCCCAGAAAGCCGAUCGUAGUCCGGAUUGCAGGCUGCAACUCGCCUGCGUGAAGUCGGAAUCGCUAGUAAUCGUGGAUCAGCAUGUCACGGUGAAUACGUUCCCGGGUCUUGUACACACCGCCCGUCACACCAUGGGAGCGGGUUCCGCCAGAAGUAGGUAGCCUAACCGCAAGGAGGGCGCUUACCACGGCGGGGUUCGUGACUGGGGUGAAGUCGAAACAAGGUAGCCGUAGGGGAACCUGCGGCUG